This 270-nucleotide ribosomal RNA is filed under the name uncultured bacterium. RNAcentral describes it as "partial 16S ribosomal RNA". The record is from RNAcentral.
CUGCUGCCUCCCGUAGGAGUCUGGUCCGUGUCUCAGUACCAGUGUGGGGGGCCUUCCUCUCAGAACCCCUACGCAUCGUCGCCUCGGUGGGCCGUUACCACGCCGACUAGCUAAUGCGCCGCAUGCCCAUCCGUGGCCGGGAUUGCUCCCUUUGGCGGCCUUGGGAUGUCCCUAGGCCGCGUUACGCGGUAUUAGACGGGGUUUCCCCCGCUUAUCCCCCUGCCACGGGCAGGUUGCAUACGUGUUACUCACCCGUGCGCCGGUCGCCGG